AGCGAACGCUGGCGGCAAGCUUAACACAUGCAAGUCGAACGAGAUCUUCGGAUCUAGUGGCGGACGGGUGCGUAACACGUGGGAAUCUGCCUUUAGGUAAGGAAUAACUCAGGGAAACUUGAGCUAACACCUUAUAAUGUCUUCGGACCAAAAAUUUAUUGCCUAAAGAUGAGCCCGCGGUAGAUUAGCUAGUUGGUGGGGUAAUGGCCUACCAAGGCGACGAUCUAUAGCUGGUCUUAGAGGAUGAUCAGCCACACUGGGACUGAGACACGGCCCAGACUCCUACGGGAGGCAGCAGUGGGGAAUAUUGGGCAAUGGGCGAAAGCCUGACCCAGCUAUGCCGCGUGAAUGAUGAAGGCCUUAGGGUUGUAAAGUUCUUUUAGAUGGGAAGAUAAUGACGGUACCAUCAGAAAAAGCUCCGGCUAACUUCGUGCCAGCCGCCGCAGUAA
RNAcentral lists this ribosomal RNA (449 nucleotides) under uncultured bacterium. RNAcentral describes it as "partial 16S ribosomal RNA". It matches the Rfam family "Bacterial small subunit ribosomal RNA", at positions 29 to 523 of the family's 1533-position model. The record is from RNAcentral.